Molecule: non-coding RNA, 76 nt
Organism: Myotis davidii
Lineage: Eukaryota; Metazoa; Chordata; Mammalia; Chiroptera; Vespertilionidae
Source: Rfam
GGCAGUUCUCAGGUGAUGCACCUUGGAAUCAGGCUCCCUCCUCUCUAGUUCUGGGGUGCAUCACCCAAGAACUGCC